GCGAACGCUGGCGGCAGGCCUAAUACAUGCAAGUCGAGCGCACCUUCGGGUGAGCGGCGGACGGGUGAGUAACGCGUGGGAAUGUGCCCUUUGGUACGGAACAACUGAGGGAAACUUCAGCUAAUACCGUAUGUGCCCUUCGGGGGAAAGAUUUAUUGCCAUUGGAGCAGCCCGCGUUGGAUUAGGUAGUUGGUGGGGUAAAGGCCUACCAAGCCUACGAUCCAUAGCUGGUCUGAGAGGAUGAUCAGCCACACUGGGACUGAGACACGGCCCAGACUCCUACGGGAGGCAGCAGUAGGGAAUCUUGCGCAAUGGGCGAAAGCCUGACGCAGCCAUGCCGCGUGAAUGAUGAAGGUCUUAGGAUUGUAAAAUUCUUUCACCGGGGAAGAUAAUGACGGUACCCGGAGAAGAAGCCCCGGCUAGCUUCGUGCCAGCAGCCGCGGUAAU
RNAcentral lists this ribosomal RNA (447 nucleotides) under uncultured bacterium. RNAcentral's name for it is "bacterial SSU rRNA". It matches the Rfam family "Bacterial small subunit ribosomal RNA", at positions 29 to 524 of the family's 1533-position model. The record is from RNAcentral.